Molecule: ribosomal RNA, 724 nt
Filed under: gamma proteobacterium IMCC14968
Lineage: Bacteria; Pseudomonadati; Pseudomonadota; Gammaproteobacteria
Description: bacterial SSU rRNA
Rfam family: Bacterial small subunit ribosomal RNA
Source: RNAcentral
AUUGAACGCUGGCGGUAGGCUUAACACAUGCAAGUCGAACGGUAACAUAGCUAGCUUGCUAGCUGAUGACGAGUGGCGGACGGGUGAGUAACGCGUAGGAAUCUACCUAUUAGUGGGGGACAACCUGGUGAAAACCAGGCUAAUACCGCAUACGCCCUACGGGGGAAAGCAGGGGAUCUUCGGACCUUGCGCUAUUAGAUGAGCCUGCGUUAGAUUAGCUUGUUGGUGAGGUAAUGGCUCACCAAGGCGACGAUCUAUAGCUGGUCUGAGAGGAUGAUCAGCCACACUGGGACUGAGACACGGCCCAGACUCCUACGGGAGGCAGCAGUGGGGAAUAUUGCGCAAUGGGCGAAAGCCUGACGCAGCCAUACCGCGUGUGUGAAGAAGGGUUUAGGCUCGUAAAGCACUUUAAGUAGGGAGGAAGGCCUGUAAAUUAAUACUUUGCAGGAUUGACGUUACCUACAGAAUAAGCACCGGCUAACUCCGUGCCAGCAGCCGCGGUAAUACGGAGGGUGCAAGCGUUAAUCGGAAUUACUGGGCGUAAAGCGCGCGUAGGCGGUUUGUUAAGCGAGAUGUGAAAGCCCAGGGCUCAACCUUGGAACUGCAUUUCGAACUGGCAGGCUAGAGUACAAGAGAGGGUGGUAGAAUUUCCUGUGUAGCGGUGAAAUGCGUAGAUAUAGGAAGGAAUACCAGUGGCGAAGGCGGCCACCUGGCUUGAUACUGA